CCGCGCCUCGAGUGGUGUUCACUUUUAUUGGGUUUAAAGCGUUCGUAGCCGGUUUAACAAGUUCCUGGUGAAAUUCCAUUGUAAACAAUGGAGCUUGCUGGGAAAACUGUUAGACUUGGGACUGGGAGAGGGCAGAGGUACUCAUGAGGUAGGGGUAAAAUCCUGUAAUCUUAUGGGGACCACCUGUGGCGAAGGCGUCUGCCUAGAACGGGUCCGACGGUGAUGGACGAAAGCUAGGGGAGCGAUCGGGAUUAGAUACCCGAGUAGUCC
Molecule: ribosomal RNA, 270 nt
Filed under: uncultured archaeon
Lineage: Archaea
Description: partial 16S ribosomal RNA
Rfam family: Archaeal small subunit ribosomal RNA
Source: RNAcentral